GACGAACGCUGGCGGCGUGCUUAACACAUGCAAGUCGAACGGUGAAGCGCCUUCCUUUUUGGUGGGUGUGGAUGAGUGGCGAACGGGUGAGUAACACGUGAGUAACCUGCCCCCUUCUUCUGGAUAACCGCAUGAAAGUGUGGCUAAUACGGGAUAUUCUGGGUCUGUCGCAUGAUGGGUCUGGGAAAGAUAUUGUUUCGGUGGGGGAUGGGCUCGCGGCCUAUCAGCUUGUUGGUGGGGUGAUGGCCUACCAAGGCGGUGACGGGUAGCCGGCCUGAGAGGGUGGACGGUCACACUGGGACUGAGACACGGCCCAGACUCCUACGGGAGGCAGCAGUGGGGAAUAUUGCACAAUGGGCGCAAGCCUGAUGCAGCGACGCCGCGUGAGGGAUGGAGGCCUUCGGGUUGUGAACCUCUUUCGCCAGUGAAGCAGGGCUGCCUCGUUUGUGGGUGGGUUGACGGUGGCUGGAUAAGAAGCGCCGGCUAACUACGUG
This 494-nucleotide ribosomal RNA is filed under the name uncultured bacterium. RNAcentral's name for it is "partial 16S ribosomal RNA". It matches the Rfam family "Bacterial small subunit ribosomal RNA", at positions 28 to 507 of the family's 1533-position model. The record is from RNAcentral.